CGGAGGAUCCAAGCGUUAUCCGGAUUCAUUGGGUUUAAAGGGUGCGUAGGCGGACUGAUAAGUCAGCGGUGAAAUCUCUCGGCUCAACCGAGAAACUGCCGUUGAUACUGUCAGUCUUGAGUACAGAUGAUGUGGGCGGAAUAUGACAUGUAGUGGUGAAAUACUUAGAUAUGUCAUAGAACACCGAUUGCGAAGGCAGCUCACAAAACUGUCACUGACGCUGAGGCACGAAAGCGUGGGGAUCAAACAGGAUUAGAUACCCUGGUAGUCCACGCCCUAAACGAUGAUUACUCGAUGUUGGCGAUACACCGUCCAGCGUCCAAGCGAAAGCGUUAAGUAAUCCACCUGGGGAGUACGGCCGCAAGGCUG
RNAcentral lists this ribosomal RNA (369 nucleotides) under uncultured organism. RNAcentral describes it as "bacterial SSU rRNA". It matches the Rfam family "Bacterial small subunit ribosomal RNA", at positions 526 to 896 of the family's 1533-position model. The record is from RNAcentral.